CGGCGAGUGAAGCGGGAAUAGCUCAAAUUUGAAAGCUGGCAGCAAUGUCCGCGUUGUAAUCUCGAGAAGUGUUUUCCGUGCUGGACCAUAGAUAUGUUCCUUGGAAUAGGAUGUCAAAGAGGGUGAGAAUCCCGUACAUGCUAUGGACGCCCAGUGCUUUGUGAUACACUUUCGAAGAGUCGAGUUGUUUGGGAAUGCAGCUCAAAAUGGGUGGUAAAUUCCAUCUAAAGCUAAAUAUUGGGGAGAGACCGAUAGCAAACAAGUACCGUGAGGGAAAGAUGAAAAGCACUUUGGAAAGAGAGUUAAACAGUACGUGAAAUUGUCAAAAGGGAAGCGCUUCAAGUCAGAUAUGGCUUUAAAUGUUCAGCCUUUCGGUGUAUUCAUUUUUUGUCAGGCCAGCAUCGAUUUUGAACGUCGGAUAAGGGUAGAAGGAAUGUAGCAUACUUUCGGGUAUGUGUUAUAGCCUUUUACUGGAUACGACGAUCGGGAUCGAGGUUCGCAGCACACCCUUUUUGGGCAGGUCUUCGGACACUUUUGUGCUUAGGAUGCUGGCGUAAUGGCUUGAAGCGACCCGUCUUGAAACACGGACCAAGGAGUCUAACAUGUCUGCGAGUUUUUGGGUGGCAAACCCAUAAGCGCAAUGAAAGUGAAUGUAGGUGGGAUCCCUUUACGGGGUGCACCAUCGACCGAUCCAGAUCUUCUGUGACGGAUUUGAGUAAGAGCAUAUAUGUUGGGACCCGAAAGAUGGUGAACUAUGCCUGGACAGGGUGAAGCCAGAGGAAACUCUGGUGGAGGCUCGUAGACGUUCUGACGUGCAAAUCGAUGUUCAGAUCUGGGUAUAGGGGCGAAAGACUAAUCGAACCAUCUAGUAGCUGGUUCA
RNAcentral lists this ribosomal RNA (880 nucleotides) under Meira sp. (in: smut fungi & allies). Its description in RNAcentral is "Meira sp. partial large subunit ribosomal RNA". It matches the Rfam family "Eukaryotic large subunit ribosomal RNA", at positions 87 to 958 of the family's 3401-position model. The record is from RNAcentral. Lineage: Eukaryota; Fungi; Basidiomycota; Exobasidiomycetes; Exobasidiales; Brachybasidiaceae.